This 315-nucleotide unclassified non-coding RNA is filed under the name Hevea brasiliensis (rubber tree). Lineage: Eukaryota; Viridiplantae; Streptophyta; Magnoliopsida; Malpighiales; Euphorbiaceae. The record is from RNAcentral.
GUUUCUUGUAAUUAACAAUCACUAUUCUCAAUUCAUCUUCCCUCCCAACCCAAGCUUUAAUUGAUAUUCAUUGAAGGAUUUAUACCUUCGAUUAAUUUUUUGCAACUUUUAGGUAAGCAAGUGCAUUUAGAUUUCUUUUUUGAUAAAAAAUCAUCACAGUUUCUUCUGUUUUCUCUUCCUGACAAACUUUCCUCUCUCUGGGAUUCUGGAUUUUAGUUUAGCAUAUGUAUAUGAUGAUUUUGGGUGAUUUUGCAUAAGGGUACUCAUCUGUUGGAAGGAAUUUCUUCUGUAGAAAAUGACAAGGCAGAAAAUCCA